ACACUCCUGCGGGAGGCAGCAGUGGGGAAUUUUGGACAAUGGGCGAAAGCCUGAUCCAGCAAUGCCGCGUGAGUGAAGAAGGCCUUCGGGUUGUAAAGCUCUUUUGUCAGGGAAGAAACGGUGAAAGCUAAUAUCUUUUGCUAAUGACGGUACCUGAAGAAUAAGCACCGGCUGACUACGUGCCAGCAGCCGCGGUAAUACGUAGGGUGCAAGCGUUAAUCGGAAUUACUGGGCGUAAAGCGUGCGCAGGCGGUUUUGUAAGUCUGAUGUGAAAUCCCCGGGCUCAACCUGGGAAUUGCAUUGGAGACUGCAAGGCUAGAAUCUGGCAGAGGGGGGUAGAAUUCCACGUGUAGCAGUGAAAUGCGUAGAUAUGUGGAGGAACACCGAUGGCGAAGGCAGCCCCCUGGGUCAAGAUUGACGCUCAUGCACGAAAGCGUGGAGAGCAAACAGGAUUAGAAACCCUGGUAGUCCC
This 472-nucleotide ribosomal RNA is filed under the name uncultured organism. RNAcentral's name for it is "partial 16S ribosomal RNA". It matches the Rfam family "Bacterial small subunit ribosomal RNA", at positions 333 to 797 of the family's 1533-position model. The record is from RNAcentral.